This 379-nucleotide ribosomal RNA is filed under the name uncultured eukaryote. RNAcentral describes it as "SSU rRNA". It matches the Rfam family "Eukaryotic small subunit ribosomal RNA", at positions 587 to 972 of the family's 1831-position model. The record is from RNAcentral.
AGCUCCAAUAGCGUAUAUUAAAGUUGUUGCAGUUAAAAAGCUCGUAGUUGGAUUUCUGCUUUGGGCACUUGGUCUGGCUCAGCUAAGUACUGAGUGUUCCAAAGCAUCUUUCUGGUGAGUUGCGCUGCACUUAACUGGGUGGCGUGCGAGCUAGAGUUUUUACUUUGAGAAAAAUAGAGUGUUUCACGCGGGCGUUCCGCCUUGAAUAUAUUAGCAUGGAAUAAUAAGGUAGGACAUUGGUCCUAUUUUGUUGGUUUCUGGGACUGAUGUAAUGAUUAAUAGGAAUAGUUGGGGGUAUUCGUAUUUAACUGUCAGAGGUGAAAUUCUUGGAUUUGUUAAAGACGAACUGCUGCGAAAGCGUUUGCCAAGGAUGUUUUCA